This is a small nucleolar RNA of Hyaena hyaena (striped hyena), 68 nucleotides long. RefSeq annotates it as small nucleolar RNA SNORD49. The record is from RefSeq and is a predicted model, not a curated record. NCBI's taxonomy places the organism in Eukaryota, Metazoa, Chordata, Mammalia, Carnivora, Hyaenidae. The transcript has a single exon.
UGCUCUGAUGAAAUCACUUAUAGAAAGUGCCAUCAGAAGUGAGACCUUGCUUUCUUUAAUAUCUAACU